UCUCUCCGCUAACAGUUUUGGCGACCCAGAUGGGACCUCGCGAGCAUUGUUGAGGCGGCUCGGGCAUCGAUCCAGCUCCAGCCGGCACCGAGUGAUUCUCGGGGAGCCAUCGACCGCGACCGACCUCCGGUGCUCUCGACGGACCAAUGGCAUUGGUAAGAGACGCUGCAGUUGCUUCACCAC
Long non-coding RNA from Strigops habroptila (Kakapo), 183 nucleotides. RefSeq lists it as uncharacterized. The transcript is spliced from 3 exons. NCBI's taxonomy places the organism in Eukaryota, Metazoa, Chordata, Aves, Psittaciformes, Psittacidae. The record is from RefSeq and is a predicted model, not a curated record.